AACGGUAUCAUUACUGAAUGCAGUAGAUGCCAGGAUAUUAGCUUUGUAAUUUUCACCUGAAAUCGUUGUAUAAUCACACCAGCUUACUCACCUUCUUUUUAUUGGCCAUUUUUUUUCUUGCUCUCACACAGUAAUAAGUUAAUUUAAUGUAUUUUCCCUCCUUCCAAUUUUUAUUUGAUAAAACAAGAAAUCAAGUGAGUCAGAAGAAUAUUCAAGAACACCCACUUUUUAAAAACUCUCCCGUACUUGGCAAGGAUUUACACACAAUUUGGUUGCAAAUUCAGAAAACAAAUUCUGCUUAAUUCUAGGAAAAUAAUAACACUCAGGUAAUUCCACUGGUAUUAUUCAGUUGGACGCUUUUUCCCCCUCCCUGGCACCGAAGCGGCUGCCGGGGCGCGCUCGGCGGCUGCGCUCCAAGGCGCCGGCUGCCAUGAUUGCGGGCAGCGGGACGCGCGCGCACGCUCGGGCCCGGCUCCGGGACCCUCCGCGGACCGACAGUCGCGGCCUGCCCGCAGCCCUGUGCGCGCUGCGGGCAGCGCGAGGGUCUCCCGGCUUAUUUCCGUGGGACCAGUGUGUAUCGUGGAGCUCUAGACCAGGCACUAGGACAGUACUCGUGGCCGACAGUGGCAGUGGCUUUCCCCAGGGCAAGUCGCGCGCACGGGCGCCCAGCAGCCUCUUCCCGGACACCACCGGCCCCGCGGAGCAAGGGGCGCGGUACCCUUUGGGCUGUGGUGGAGCGGAUCCGGCGAGCGGGAGUGGGAGGACAGCGCACUAUGCCGGAGAUGGCGCAGAAACUGCGGGGAGAAGUUCAAGGCCGCAGCUUUGCUCUCAGCCCGACGGCGACACUGCUGCCUCCAGGCCACACGGUUCUUUCCUGGGCUCCUUCAGGGGAAGGGGAACGCCUGGGCUCCAUGGCCUGGACACUGGUUAG
This 931-nucleotide long non-coding RNA is filed under the name Ictidomys tridecemlineatus (thirteen-lined ground squirrel). Its description in RNAcentral is "lncRNA (ENSSTOG00000034691.1)". The record is from RNAcentral. Lineage: Eukaryota; Metazoa; Chordata; Mammalia; Rodentia; Sciuridae.